GCCGCCGGGCACCACGGGGCUCGUAGUCCGGGCUAGGGCCCGGCCGGGGGAGCGCGGAGGAAGGAGAAGAUAAGGCAGCAGAGGUGAACACCAGAGAGCACACAGAGUUCCAGAUGUCGAUCCUCAGAGAAUCCAUGUAUGACUGAAACGAUGGAUAAUCUGUUGGCUCAGCUCCAGCUUGGUGGAACCUGCUGGUUGUUUCAGGUUAAUGUACAAAAAGGCUGCCUCUGAGCUGAGACCACUCGCCGGGCAAGGGACGUGCCUGUGCCCCUGAGCUGUCCUUUUCAGGACAGCUUCUACAGGGUAGUCGUGGCACCCCCUGCCAUUGACCCAGUCACAUCAAGUGGCGCCCAACAUGGGGCAUCCGAAGAGCCCCUGAAGAAGUGUCCGCCUGCAGUUCUCACUGUGGUGUGUGCCGCUGUUGGGACUGCCACUCCCUUGCGUUUUAGCAAGGGGCAAUCUGAAGGGUAUCGACCGGGACCCUCAAUGAUCAUCUGGGGCAAAGGAAGAGAGCCCUUGAGGACCGGCUGUCCAUUUUCCAUUGGAAAACCUGCCCAUCGGUUUUCCAUUGGCCCAGCAGGCAUUGGCCUGAAGAAAAUUACCAGAAAGAUUGUUAUUGAGCCUUCCACAAAGCUGAAAUAAUGCUGUGUGUUAAAAAAUGUUAACAAUCCGAAGAAGUUAUAAAAAUUUAUAAGUUGACUGAAUACUUUGGAAAUUUCUGCAUAUUUUAAUAUAAAUAGGUGCUGCCAGCAUGUGGAGCUGAGAGCAGUGAAAGUCCAAAGGACUGGGGCACCAGAGGAGGUCACCAGGAGCUGUCAUGACUGCAGGACAUAUAUAAGCCCUGCAGGAAAGAGAAAGGGAGAAUGAUUCAUUGGUUGAUGCAAGCCUCUGUAGGUAUGAAGAACACUUGUCCAUUCGUAAUUGAAACUAUUCAAGAUGCAUGGGCCUGAAAGGGCAUUAUAAGUUUCUCAUGCUCUCUGGUGUAGUAAAGAUCUUGUCUUCUAGCAAACAUUAUGAAUGAAAGAUUUUCUUACAAGGAGAGAUGGAGUAGACUGAAUCAAGCCUCUGUCAAGAACCACUUCUGCAAUACUGAAUUAACAUACCCAAGACCGGCACAUCAGGAAGAUAGCCUUCUACCAAGAAUAGUGUGGAGAUACACUUUGUUCACAGAAGGAAACAUCAUGAGACUCAGACAGAUACAGUGCAUCCUCCGAUUGCAGAGAUGUUGCUGCUCUCUGAGCACUGCACACUCUGUGUUCAUGACUGAUGAAAAUAAUGCCCAGUUUUGGGGGAGAUUUGUGUUAUGGGAGACAGUAACAGCUGCUCUAAUAGGGUGGCUUAUCACUUUCUUGUGGAGACAGGUUCUAUCAUCUCAUUAAAGCAAGCCCUGCCCGUUCACCUAGAUUCCUUCCCAGGCAGCUACAGUGGAUCUGCUCACCAAGGGAAUUUGUCCCACUGGAUUCCAUUUUUUUCUGUGCAGUUGAAUGAAAAGUGUGUGUCUUUUGAAGAACAGCAACUGAAAGAAAUAUUGAUGACUGCCAGGGUAUCUACAGAAAAAGAUAUGAAAAUUACUCUACUACAACAGUGAAGAAAAAUGGGCUUUGUUAACUCUUUCUUGUAGGUUGUAUAUAUUAAUAGGAACAAGUAAAGUUUUGUAUUUUUUCAGAGAAAUACACAAGGCCUUGAAUUGUAUUGUUUUAAUUGCAGCUAACUGAAUGAAUUAAGUGGAAAAACGCACACAGUACUUUGAUUGUCUAAUUCUCUGUAUGUGAGGCUUCGGGAACAAUUUGUUACUAUAAAAGAACAGCAGUAACCAGAAAUCAGCCGACAUGUAAUUGCUAGGCAGAGGGGCAGUUUGGGGAAAGCUGAUACUUAUUUAUAAAUUAUUAAAUAAAAGCACAUAAUAUGAGGAUCAUCUCUCACUUCCUCCACACUUCAUACAUUACUCAUCUUCCUAAAUUUCAUGGUUUUGUACUCCCUUAGUACAUUGCUGCUUAUAACCAGUGCAGGCAUCAAAACCACCCACAUCCAGGAAAGGAGAUGCCUGUGCAUUUGUAAUGCUGGCAGUUUUGGUUAUGGGACUCAUCAAAGAUUAUGAACCUUCAGUUAAAGGAAAGGAAUCUUGACUCAAGUUUUAAACAUUGUUUUCAGUACCUAAAAUACACCUGAGUUCCUGGGACUGUUCAGAUGGCUGAAACUCUGGCUGGUGUUUCCACUUGACUAUUUACCUUUAGAGAUUUACAGCUAGCCAGUACCCUAAAUAGAAGACUUAAGAGCAAUUUUUGCAUUACAUUUGACAGAGUUCUCAAAAAAAAAUUGUUUAUGUAAUUCACAUCAGUUUUGGUAAGAAUUGGGUAACUUCUGGUUAUCUUGAGUGGUUCUCACUGCUCACUUGUGCCUUACUACCAUAGGAAACAGCCAUUUGCAUAGGAAACAGAGAGGAGGUAGGUGGUGAUUGGACUCAUCAAGAAGGUAGAGCAGUGUUUUAAUUCUCAGUGUUUUUGGCUAUUUCAGCCCUCCUGUAGGAUGGAGCUGCCAUUAGUUCCUUUAGCACAAAUUUGGGCUUUUUUCUAGGAAAGCAAGGUCUAUUUCAGAGCACACAGUAGCAGUUCCUUGUGCCAUGUAACAAGGGGUUGGGUAAUGUCUGGGCUCACAAGUGAGAAGCAUGUCUUACAGACCAAGAGGCCCUUUGUGAUCUGCAGAAGAGAGUCUGUGGAUAGGAAGGUGUGCCAGCACCUGGGGAGUUGGCAUUGCUGGACACAUCUUUGGACUUGCUGAGCUGCUAUAUAUGAUGCAAUUUGUGCCAUACAAACAAAUCCCACCAUUAGACCACUUAAACACUGUUUAUGCAACUUCAAAAUGGUAGAGGCUUAAUUUUAUGACCUCAUCUGCAGGUUUGUUAUAUGUCCAUGCUGAAGUGGUGUGAAGAUUUAAUUGCUAAUCCUAGUUACCAGUGUAGACUGUUGCACAGAAGGUGCCUGAGAGGUGGAACUGGGCAGAGUUUAGCUUUGCGCAGCUCUUGCCAAGAGUUAUUUGGUAUCCCUGUCACUGUUUUUUGAUAUCAAAGAAUAUUUUCCCCCAAAUUACUUAUUUUUAUGCAAAAGAACACAGCUGCAUUUAUGAAAGGUCUUGGAUUUUACAGUAUGUCUGGUUUGUGUAUAUUGUCUGCAUAAGUACCAAUAGCCAUAAUGAAAAACACAGUGUUGUUACAGGGAUUUUUAACAGUGGUUUUUAGUAGUUUAGAAAGCAUUGGAGCUAAUUACAACAAAUGAAAAAAAUCAAAACAAAGCAGCUUUGAAAAUGUUGAUACAAUUUGGCAAAUGAAUCUUUGGUUUUAACUCUGCUCUAUUAUUUCUCUGAUACUAAAACCAGUAUAAAGCAUUAUGGAUUUCAACCAGCUCAACAGAAGAUACAGUAUGGCUUUCAGCCCACUGUCCCCUCCACUGGGGGGCUAAAUCUUGGCUGUGCUCUUGUGAAGCCUUUGGCUGCAUGUUCUGAGACAGCCUCUAUUCAGUGCUUGUGUGCAGUGUUAAAGCUGUCUUCACUGCACCUCUUUCUCCAGCACGACAUGGGAAGUUUCCUAGAUUGAAUUCUCAGUCACAAAACUCAUAUGGAAGCCACUUAAAAUGUAAGACCUUUCAAACCCUUGUGAGUUCACAGCAUUUAAAGAUAAGAGCACAGUAUUGCCAAGAAAUGUGUCUUGUUGAGGCCCACAAUUAACUUUAUCAAAAGAAGGAAUCUUAUUUUUGCCUGCUACAGAUAGAGGUUGCAUCUCAAAGCAGCCUAAAGUUAGAGAUAGCAUCUGGUUCAGAUCACGAUAUGAUGAAAGAUUCAGGUUAAUUAGUAUUUAUUCUUAGUUGAUAGUUAUUCCUUUUGGCUUGAGCUAACAAGCAGGAGUUGGAGUCCCACAAAGUUGCAUCUCCUGGGAUGAGAGAUGAGUGAGGGAGACAGUCUCCAUGGUGAAAAUGUAUUUAGGGAUGGGGAUGUCAGUAAGAAAGACUGGCCAUUGCCUUGGUUUCUGAUGGCCUGAAGGGAGGAUGCUCUGAGGGAUGGCUAAGUGCCAGCAGUGGGGAUUGGAUGUAGGCAUGGGCUGAGGCAUCCCACGGGGCCAUGGACAGUGGGAGAUGCCCUGGUUCUCUGCUCAAUCCAAUGCCCUCACAUGUUCACACAACCCCUUUCUGCCACCAGUUGCCCUAACUGGGUGGUUUUGGCCACAGGGAGCAGUCAAGGAGAAACUGUGAAGGUGGGUUCUCAGAGCACUUCCACUGCUUUCAGUUCCCCUUUCUUGCCACUGUUUCCUGCAGCACCGCACAGGCUCUACCAGCAAAAACACCACACCACAGUGUAAGGGCAGUUGUUCAUCUUGGGAUUGUUUUUUUUCCCUGAGGUCUCCUAAUUGCUUAUACAGCCAGGAGGAGCCUACCAGGUGGAGAGCAGCUUUCCAUGCUUUUUCAGUUCCCAUAUUUAUACUCUUUUUUUAAAAUCACUGUUAGCAUUUAGUUGGAGUUGAGACAUUUCUAGCAGGAUCUCCUGUGUAUCUGGGCAGAGUUGCUCUUCUCCAGUAAUCUCAUGGACUGUUUUGUUCCCUCAGGUACUCAAAGAGAAGAUAAUUUCUACAUUGGUAGGAAUUCUCUGGCUUCACGGGUUCUAGUGGCCUGGGCAAGGCAGUCCCAUAGUGGCAGGCACUGGGCCUCCUGCCCUACAGCCAUAUGGUUCCACUUUCCUGCUCUCUCACAUGACAGUCUGAGUUCCCCCAGCAGAAAGAAGAGAACACUCCUUCCUGUUACAUAUGUGAUGAAAAUGGCAAGACAGCUGUGGAUCUGCAGUAAACUCCAAGCUAUGUGGCAGCUACACGUAAGCUCAGAAAUUAAGCUGUUACUAUGAAAAGCACAAAGCUUAGAAGUAAUUUAUUCCUUGUGUUUGUUCCUCAUGUUAACUGCUGGAACAUAAAUUCAGUUUUGUGCUGUGCUCAGAUGCAGUCUUUUCCAUAGACUAAGUGUUCUUCAGGUUCACUGGACAGAAUGGGCUCUGUGUUGAAGGUAUAAGGAAGCUGGAUGAGCAGGUGUGGGAGAUGAAGUCAGGAGGUUUGGCCACCCUGGAAAGCACUGGAGCUGGGUUACAGUUAUGAGAUGCUAGAAUUGAAAGAAGUUCUCAGUGUGCCUUUUCCUUUCCCUUUCUUUUCCCUUUUCCUUCCCUUGAAGUCUAAGACCUUGGAUUAUUAAUUCCUGCUCUUUGUUGUUCCAAAGAGAUGGUGGUCCUCCUGCAGCCUUUGCGGUGUCUCACAGCUCCAAGAGAGCACAGACCAGCAUUUGGAAGAUGACACUUUCCCACUGCACCGAAUGCUUUACUGUUCUGCAUGAAUGAUGUACACAGUGUUGGGGUAAAUAUAUUAUUUUUCACCAGAAAUACCCCUCCAGUGCUGUGACCCUGCUUUGUUUGGAAAGAGGUAGAAGAGAGGGAAAUACAGAAUCUGCCGUCUCCCUGCUAGGCUUUCCUUUCUUCAAAGAACCAUCAGAGCAGCCCAUUACUUUCACAUAUUGCCAGUACGUUGUUGCAGGCUGGGUCUUAGGGCCCUGUCUGACCCCCAGCUUCCGCUGGCAACAAGGCCAGAUAAACAUCCUGGGGGAGAGCCACCAUCCGGGGUUUCCUGGCAGUCUCCAGCCAGGGGUAACCUUUAGGGGCAUGGGCAGGGGUUUUAGGUGACCAGCUCUUUCAGCAGCAUUUUCUGCUCUGUGAUCAGCUCUGUUCAGCCUAGCCAGCUCCUUUCGUGGUCCCCCUGCCGACGCAGACAAGAGACGGAAAGACCAUAUAACAUUCUGCAGAGUCUUUAAUGCAGGCUUCUGUGAAGGGGGCCAGUGAUGGUCUAACCCUGAACUGGGUAAAAGCUGGGGUUUUUAUAGGGAAGGGGAGGGUUGGGAAGGGAACCAAUGGUCUGAGAGGGGAUAAGUUGACCAAUAGUUAACAGGGAGAUAACAUGGGCUCCUGAAGCAGGAAGGGGUCCACAGCUUAGUCAUGAUGACUAGGCAGUUUUAUCUUAUCUUAGGGGACAGAUCUCCAGGGAGGAUGCCUGUCGGAGGACUGGGCCUCUCCACAACUCCUCUCUCUGUAUUUAGUAAAAAGCCAUUCACUAUAGCUCUUUUGAAGCAAUGAAGAAGGCAUGAGAACGUAGCUAAUACAACAAUAAUCAAUAAAAGUCCACAAAAUUCCCUUAACUAAAGAUGACACCCAUCCCAUUAGUCCCCAUUGACUGAGAAGGUCAUUGACCCAGCCCAGGGUGUUUUCCACUUUUAAGUCCUUCACUAGUUCCUUCAGUUUCUGGAUGUUCACGUGGACGAAUUCUGAAAUUGAAGAGAGGUUGAAGCAGCACAUCCAUUCAAAGUCCUUGCAGCCAUGUCCGAGUAGUAGGAAGUCGAUUGCUACUUGAUUCUGUAGAUAGGCGUGUCUAGUGGUCUCCUCAUCUUUUAAGAGAUCACUCAGGGCAGCAGAUGUUGCAUUGGCCUGCUUGCUAAGCCAACACCCCAGGUGAUUUAUGUCACCAAGGGCUUUAGCUGUGGCUACCCAUGGGUAAAACAGUGAAGCCACAACUUGCUUUCCUAGGUUCCAAUUGUAAAUUUGGCUGUCGCAAUUUUCAUUGAAUUCUGAACAGGAUUUUUCUUGACAUGCCAGUUUGGUUUUUUGUUUCCAAUUAUGUAACAAUGUGAUAUUUGGGGUGAGGAUAGAAAGCUUGCCAAAGCUACAGAGACUCCUCUGGAGACGGGAGGGGAUUCCAGCCCAAACUCCAUCACCACAGAUAAAAACAUUCCCCAGGGCAACACUUUGGGGUGAAGAGAGGACACAGAAAGUGUGCUGCUGGCGUAAUUACACCAAUUCAAAUUAUUGUAGGCUUUGCUAAUUGGUGAUACAUCUUUGAUGUUUUUUGCCUGGUCAAUUCCUGGCCAAUGAUCACUUGGUCAUCUAAAAUAAAGUUUGACACAGUAUGUUGCUUUGGAGGACCCCAGCAGGUCCAAUUCUUGGGGUUCCUCCAGAGCAUUUGGCAGAAUUUUUGUCCACUCAUGCCAAGUGUCUACCGGAUUGGGUCUCUUAGCUGUGGUGUGGAGGAGCUCUGAAUUAGAGAGGGGCCAGUCAGUCAUCUGCUACCAAGGGAAUCCCUACCGGACACGUGGAAAGUGGGUUGUCAACACUGCUCAUAGAUAGACACAGGUUAUCUUCUUUCACUGUCCUUGCUAAGGUCACCCAAACAUCAUGGUUAGGCUGUGGGCUAAUCCAGCCGAAGGUGGGUGACAUGGUGAAGAGCAUCCAGGCAGCAGUGAGAACAGCACCAACGGAGAUAAUUUUCAUCUUUAGACAAGGAUGGGGCUUCUCACAGGGAAUAUGAGCAAGAUUUGUUAUCCUUAUGGUGGAAGGGGGAGGUUUAGGGUUUUCUCCCUUGUCUCUUUUCUCCAUUCUUUCCCCCCCUUUUUCUAUUUACUAAAAACUGAGGAUGGGGGAGAUGGUAUAGGGUUCAAGAAGGUUAUGGCAUGGGUUGAGGAAUGGGGACACGAGUGUUUUUAGGGAAAAAGGGUAACAACAUAUAAACCAGGCAACAAUUUGUGGCCAGGCUGCGUCUGGCCUAUGGCUUGGCUGACUGCAGCAGCAUCUUGUUCAGUUUUCUGUUUUGUGGGCUGCCGUGUGGCGGGAUGGUCUUCUCUGUGUUUUGUGGAUGCUCGGCGAUGCCUCCGUUUCCAUGCUGAGGUGGUUCGUUUUGUGUAGGUCUUGUAUUUGACUGAGGAGGAUUCUUGUUAGUGUCCGUGGGGGCAGUGUUUGCAGUGCCGGAUGCCGGGUUUUGCAGGGGAACAGCGGCAGUAGCUGUUGCUAUGGCAGCAGAAGC
Molecule: non-coding RNA, 7867 nt
Organism: Cyanistes caeruleus (blue tit)
Lineage: Eukaryota; Metazoa; Chordata; Aves; Passeriformes; Paridae
Source: RefSeq, a predicted model, not a curated record